This 434-nucleotide ribosomal RNA is filed under the name uncultured archaeon. RNAcentral describes it as "bacterial SSU rRNA". It matches the Rfam family "Archaeal small subunit ribosomal RNA", at positions 19 to 458 of the family's 1478-position model. The record is from RNAcentral.
GGACCUGACUGCUAUCGGAUUGAUACUAAGCCAUGCGAGUCAUUGUAGCAAUACAAGGCAUACGGCUCAGUAACGCGUAGUCAACCUAACCUAUGGACGGGAAUAACCUCGGGAAACUGAGAAUAAUGCCCGAUAGAACAUUAUGCCUGGAAUGGUUUAUGUUCCAAAUGAUUUAUCGCCGUAGGAUGGGACUGCGGCCUAUCAGUUUGUUGGUGAGGUAAUGGCCCACCAAGACUAUUACAGGUACGGGCUCUGAGAGGAGUAGCCCGGAGAUGGGUACUGAGACACGGACCCAGGCCCUGUGGGGCGCAGCAGGCGAGAAAACUUUGCAAUGUGCGAAAGCACGACAAGGUUAAUCCGAGUGGUUUCUGCUAAAGAAACCUUUUGUCAGUCCUAGAAACACUGAUGAAUAAGGGGUGGGCAAGUUCUGGUGU